Long non-coding RNA from Sorghum bicolor (sorghum), 792 nucleotides. RefSeq lists it as uncharacterized. The transcript has 4 exons. The record is from RefSeq and is a predicted model, not a curated record. NCBI's taxonomy places the organism in Eukaryota, Viridiplantae, Streptophyta, Magnoliopsida, Poales, Poaceae.
UCCGCUUCGUCCUCCAGUCGGCGUGCUGCGGCGCGUCGAUCUGGAUCUGCCCACGAGCGCACAAGCGUCCACCACAUCGGCUCGCCUCCUUCGGCAUGCCACCUCCGCCCACAUCCUCCAAGGGGGCUGGUCCCUCACAUCUUCGUCCGUGGCUCGGGAGCUGCCCCAAACUGCAGCUGCUUCCCCUUCACCGUCAAGCACUGCCGGCCUGCCCCCUGUACCUGGCGUGUGUGGUCGCGUCCCCUUCCCCAUCUGGACCCGACGAUGUCAGCCUGCCCCUUCACUAGCGCACGGCCGUGCCUUCCACCUCUCCUGUGAAGGUUUUCUUGUUCUUCUUGUGGAUCGUUUAAAUCAAAUGGAUCAAGACCCCAAUGCUGCCCUCUAUCAUUGUCACCUCCAUCCACUUCAUCAGUCUAACCUGCAACUUGAAAGAUGAGGCCAGCUACAGGUGCAUAAUAAAAAGAGCAAGAACACAUAGGAACAAGAAUCUGAGCACACUCUUUUUUGGAGAUGCAAGAGAAGAAACCAGUAUCUGAGCACUCACAUUUUAGGAGAGAUAGAAGACAGGACAUGGAGAAAUUUCAGCAACCUAAGGUAUUCAAUCAUGCUCCGGACACCAAAAACACCUAGCUGCCAGCACCUGUUGAACUAUUAGUAAUUUGGUGACUAAGGUCACUUGUGAGAUAGGAAUGUGAGAUUUCCAUUUGUUUAAUUUAUCUGAGAUAACUUUGUGACUAAGUUCACUUGUUGAACUAUAGUUUGGUGUUCGUGAGGAAUGUAAUAAAUAUAUUG